This 244-nucleotide ribosomal RNA is filed under the name uncultured bacterium. RNAcentral describes it as "partial 16S ribosomal RNA". It matches the Rfam family "Bacterial small subunit ribosomal RNA", at positions 57 to 305 of the family's 1533-position model. The record is from RNAcentral.
GCAAGUCGAGCGGUAAGGCCAUUCGGGGUACACGAGCGGCGAACGGGUGAGUAACACGUGAGCAAUCUGCCCUGCACUUUGGGAUAACCACCGGAAACGGUGGCUAAUACCGGAUAUGACUGCCUGUGGCAUCGCGGGUGGUGGAAAGUUCUGGCGGUGCAGGAUGAGCUCGCGGCCUAUCAGCUUGUUGGUGAGGUAAUGGCUCACCAAGGCUUCGACGGGUAGCCGGCCUGAGAGGGUGACC